AUAGUGUUAGUUAAGUUAUAAUGUUUACUUGUCGUGUAGAAGUUGCUUAUUUUAAGCACACUAUU
This 65-nucleotide transfer RNA is filed under the name Gyrodactylus kobayashii. Its description in RNAcentral is "tRNA-Asp". The record is from RNAcentral. Lineage: Eukaryota; Metazoa; Platyhelminthes; Monogenea; Gyrodactylidea; Gyrodactylidae.